This 1288-nucleotide long non-coding RNA is filed under the name Macaca fascicularis (crab-eating macaque). RNAcentral's name for it is "lncRNA (ENSMFAG00000060161.1)". The record is from RNAcentral. Lineage: Eukaryota; Metazoa; Chordata; Mammalia; Primates; Cercopithecidae.
GCCCGUUGCCAUUUUUGGCCAUCUGCUAAGGUACUGGGAAGUGUUAGGAUCCAGGUACCCAGGGGUGAAACAGACUCUAGCCCUGCUCUCAAGCAGUUUAUUGUCAUCAAACACCGCCAUCCAGGCAGGGCAAUUGGUGCUGGAAUGGGAACCACAGUGGGUACCGUGGCACACAGUGGACAGAGUGACCAACUGCCAGGAGUGGGCAGCACUCGGAGGAGGCUUUGUGGAAAAUAUGAUGCCCAUUCUGGGUCUUAAAGAGAUGAGUGGGCAUCUUCCGGGUGAUGAAGGGCGUGAAAAAGGCUUGUGGGGCCAAAGAACAACUUGGGUAAAAACCGGGGGAAGCGAACAAGCAUGACGUAUUGGGGUCAGUGCUGAUAGUUCUGGGAUGCUGAUGUACAAGGUGGGGCUGGGAGAUGAGGCCGGGAAAGUAGCCACAAGCCAGAGUGUAAAGGUACCAGUGUGGCCGGGUACGGUGGCUCAUGCCAAAAUCCCAGCACUUUGGGAGGCUGAGGCUGGAGUAUCACUUGAGCCCAGGAGUUUGAGACCAGCCUGGGCAACAUGGCAAAACCCUGUGUCUACAAAACAUUAAAAAAAAAAAAAUAGCCGGGCGUGGUGGAGCACACCUGGGGUCACAGCUACUCGGGAGGCUGAGGGAGGAGGAUCACUUGAAUCCAAGAGUUCGAGGCUGCAGUGAGCUAGGAUUGUGGCACUACACUCCAGCCUGAGCAACAGAGUGAGACCCUGUCUCAGAACAAAAGAGAAAAAGGUGCCUGAGUUCCAGGCAGAGGGACUGAGGCUUUAUUCUAAGGAUGGUGAGAGAGGAUGAUAGUUGAGCUGGGGCAAGGACUGGGGGGUGGAGAGGAGGGGAUGAGUUUGAAGUUCACUGAGAAGGCAGAGGGGACAGUGCUCAGUGGGCUUCCCUUCCAUAUUUGCUCAGCAAGUACUUCCUGAGGACUCCCCUGAGGCCUUGUGCUGGGCGGUGCUGGGAGUGUCGAGGUGAUUUGUAUCUUGCCCUGCUCUCAAGGGGCUCCCAGUCUGGUGGGAAAACAGGCACCGACGCAGCAUGAGGAGGGCAUGGCAGCAGUGGUGCCGUGCUGCCAGGGGCUCUGCAUGCCCUUAUCUUGAGCAUAUAGGGCUGCGGAAGGGUACAGAUCACAGCUGAGUGUUCAGAAUUUCUCUCCGAGGCCUGUGUGGAAGGACCAGGAAGAGACACUGAAGGUCAAGGUCUCUAGGAAGAAUUCUGCCAAGGCGGUUUCAGGAAGAGAUGCUGGGAAACGUAGGAAAA